UGGCCCGGCGACGUCUCACGGUC
Molecule: microRNA, 23 nt
Filed under: Homo sapiens (human)
Lineage: Eukaryota; Metazoa; Chordata; Mammalia; Primates; Hominidae
Description: hsa-miR-4745-3p
Source: miRBase by way of RNAcentral